CUAAGUUUGAUGGCGACCGGCGCACGGGUGAGUAACACGUAUCCAACCUGCCGAUGACUCGGGGAUAGCCUUUCGAAAGAAAGAUUAAUACCCGAUGGCAUAGUUCUUCCGCAUGGUAGAACUAUUAAAGAAUUUCGGUUAUCGAUGGGGAUGCGUUCCAUUAGAUAGUUGGCGGGGUAACGGCCCACCAAGUCAACGAUGGAUAGGGGUUCUGAGAGGAAGGUCCCCCACAUUGGAACUGAGACACGGUCCAAACUCCUACGGGAGGCAGCAUG
This 275-nucleotide ribosomal RNA is filed under the name uncultured bacterium. RNAcentral's name for it is "partial 16S ribosomal RNA". It matches the Rfam family "Bacterial small subunit ribosomal RNA", at positions 79 to 353 of the family's 1533-position model. The record is from RNAcentral.